This 563-nucleotide ribosomal RNA is filed under the name Pinthaeus sanguinipes. RNAcentral describes it as "partial large subunit ribosomal RNA". It matches the Rfam family "Bacterial large subunit ribosomal RNA", at positions 1794 to 2615 of the family's 2925-position model. Lineage: Eukaryota; Metazoa; Arthropoda; Insecta; Hemiptera; Pentatomidae. The record is from RNAcentral.
ACUCGCCUGUUUUACAAAAACAUGUCUUAAUGUUAAUUAUAUAUUAAGUCUGGCCUGCUCAAUGAUUUUAUUAUAUAAUUAAAUAGCCGCAGUAUUUUGACUGUGCGAAGGUAGCAUAAUCAUUUGUCUUUUAAUUGAAGGCUUGUAUGAAUGGUUGGAUGAGAGAAUAACUUUCUUUACAUUAAAAAUUGAAUUUAAUUUUUUAGUCAAAAAGCUUAAAUUUAUAAAUGGGACGAGAAGACCCUAUAGAAUUUUACUUUUAUUUAAUGUAAUUGUUAAUUUGUUAAUAAUAACUACUUUACACAUGUUUAAAGUUUUGUUGGGGUGACAAUGAGAUUUACAUAACUCUCAUAUAUUAUUUAUUUAUUUAUUUAUAUAUUUUAGAUCCUAUUUUAAGGAUUAUUAGAUCAAAUUACCUUAGGGAUAACAGCGUAAUUUUUUUGGAGAGUUCUUAUCAAUAAAAAAGUUUGCGACCUCGAUGUUGGAUUAAAAUUAGAUUUAAGUGCAGAAGCUUAAUUACUAGGUCUGUUCGACCUUUAAAAUUUUACAUGAUUAAUUUCCAA